CUAUUCGCCACUCACACUGCUCGUCAGCAUAUUUACUCUCAAUUGCUUCCUUCUCAAGAAGAUUUGAAUCAAUCAGUACACGAUGGCCCUAAAUGUGGAAGCUAAAGGCGGAAAUGGAGGGAAACAAUGGGAUGAUGGAUUCAAUUAUGAGUGUGUAACAAAGUUACAUGUACGAGGUGGUCGUGAAGGCAUUCAGUUCAUAAAGUUUGAGUAUGUCAAAGCUGGAGAAACAACAGUUGGACUAAUCCAUGGUGUCUCGGAUCGUUGUGGUCUGACACAGACGUUCGAGAUUAACCAUUUGGAAAAGGAACAUCUGAUAUCUGUAGGGGUUACUGCAAUGAAUCGACUGGUGUGACACAUUCGCUUCAGGGUAUCAUGGGCUAUCCUGGCUCUACAUAAGUGGUUGUCACGUCCUCAGUCUCUGACAAUGCCGAAAUGUUAAUUCUUCUGUGGUCGGAAUUCGAACCCUGGUGGCUUCACCGUAAUGAACUAUUUGCUUUCAAAUUAAUCACCAACAGACCACAAACCAGAGGGUACUAAAUUUUCACUAAGAGCCAAUGGCAAAAAAAUUAUUGGAUUUCAUGGGUUUGCUAAGAAGAAUCGCAACUGUCUUAGAGCAUAUUUCAUUGAGAUAAUUCAUUAGGCUGUCUGUUAGAGUAAUAUUUUUUAGCAUUUCUCUUAAUUCUUCCUUGUGUUUGUCCAUAUCGAUCCUCCCCCCCUCCCCCCCCUUCUUUUUUAAUCUUCCUACUCUAAUUAUAUUUGUCGGUUGUCUAUCGUUAAACCCUUUUAUUUUUUUUCUGAAAUGAUUUCCUAAGUCUUCUAUCGUUAUACACUUGUUAUUUUCUAUUUCUUUUAUUUUCUCGUUUAAUCAUUUUAUUUUUUCUAAUUGCUUAUUAUUUAACUGUUUGUAAUUUUUUAUUUUUUCUUCAAGCUCUUCAUUCUACUGUUUUAGUCGUUCUAAAUCGUUAUCCUGUUUUUCUUCUAUUUUUUGUAUUUUUUCUAGUACUAUUUUUAUUUGAUCUCCAAGUUUUUCUCUCAUAAUUUUUCAGUUAAUUUAUUAAUGGUUUCUGUUAGUUUUUUUACUGUUAUUAAUACGUCAUCCAAUUCUUGUAAUUUGUCAAGUUUAUCUAGUAUUUCUAUAACUUUUUUUUAUUUCAGAAAUAUUUUUUGCAUUUCUUCAACAUGUUUAGUUGACUCUAUAAUUUUAUCUAGUUUUUUUUGCACUAUUCUAUUUAUUUAAUUUGGUUUAUUGAUAUGUUACUAAUUAUUUCGGUUUGGUUGACUAGUAUUCCACAUAUUAUUCUCAUCGAAUGACAAAUUUUAUGAUCUUCUUUUAUGUUUGCUCCCAUCGUAUAUUCAGUGUUUUCCAUCAUAUUUCUUUCUAAUGGUAUAAUUUUUUCUUUAUAGGGUAUUCCCGGUAUAGAGUAUAACUCGGGGUGAUAUUCGAUAGUUUGAUCUAUAAAUUCAUCCGUUUUUAUAAAUUUAUCAGUUUUUAUAUUAUUUUGAUUUCUUCAAUUUUUUUGGUUUUUAGCUUUCCUCCCGCUUCUAAGUAUUCUAAUGCUCGUCCUUUAUUCUUAUUUAUAACUGCACAUAAUAAUUUUAUAUGCUCUCGUUUCUGUUCAUAAGUUUUUCAAUUUUAUUACUAUCUUUAUCAGAGUUUGAUGGCUCUGAUACCAAUUUUUCUUACUAAUUUUCAUCAAUUUUUUCUUACAAUCUUGACUCUGUUUUUUCCAUAGUUUAUUAUCUAAUGUUAUUAUAGAUCGAUCUAAUUUAUUUAAUUUAUGAUUAAUUU
Brassica oleracea var. oleracea is the source of this 1792-nucleotide RNA transcript. It is a transcript of the gene named jacalin-related lectin 42-like, with no coding region annotated. Lineage: Eukaryota; Viridiplantae; Streptophyta; Magnoliopsida; Brassicales; Brassicaceae. The record is from RefSeq and is a predicted model, not a curated record. The transcript has 3 exons.